GUGUCGGAGGCUUGACCUUCGGUGCCGUAGUUAACGCGUUAAGUACCCCGCCUGGGGAGUACGGUCGCAAGGCUGAAACUCAAAGAAAUUGACGGGGGCCCGCACAAGCGGUGGAGUAUGUGGUUUAAUUCGAUGCAACGCGAAGAACCUUACCCAGGCUUGACAUCCUGCGAAUGCCCAAGAAAUUAGGCAGUGCCCUUCGGGGAAUGCAGUGACAGGUGCUGCAUGGCUGUCGUCAGCUCGUGCUGUGAGGUGUUGGGUUAAGUCCCGCAACGAGCGCAACCCCUAUCCUUAGUUGCCACCAGGUAAUGCUGAGCACUCUAAGGAGACUGCCCGGGUUAACCGGGAGGAAGGUGGGGACGACGUCAAGUCAUCAUGGCCCUUACGCCUGGGGCUACACACGUACUACAAUGGUGCAUACAAAGGGUUGCGAUACCGUGAGGUGGAGCUAAUCCCAGAAAGUGCAUCCCAGUCCGGAUAGGAGUCUGCAACUCGACUCCUUGAAGUCGGAAUCGCUAGUAAUCCCGGAUCAGCAUGCCGGGGUGAAUGCGUUCCCGGGCCUUGUACACACCGCCCGUCACACCACGAAAGUUGGUUCUACCCGAAACCAGUGAGCUAACCGGCAACGGAGGCAGCUGUCUACGGUGGGGCUGAUGAUUGGGGUGAAGUCGUAACAAGGUAGCCGUAGGGGAACCUGCGGCUGGAUCACCUCCUU
Molecule: ribosomal RNA, 715 nt
Filed under: uncultured delta proteobacterium
Lineage: Bacteria; Deltaproteobacteria
Description: bacterial SSU rRNA
Rfam family: Bacterial small subunit ribosomal RNA
Source: RNAcentral